This 253-nucleotide ribosomal RNA is filed under the name uncultured bacterium. RNAcentral describes it as "partial 16S ribosomal RNA". It matches the Rfam family "Bacterial small subunit ribosomal RNA", at positions 524 to 776 of the family's 1533-position model. The record is from RNAcentral.
UACGUAGGGUGCAAGCGUUGUCCGGAAUUAUUGGGCGUAAAGAGCUCGUAGGCGGUUUGUCGCGUCGACUGUGAAAACCCGAGGCUUAACCUCGGGCCUGCAGUCGAUACGGGCAGACUAGAGUUCGGUAGGGGAGACUGGAAUUCCUGGUGUAGCGGUGAAAUGCGCAGAUAUCAGGAGGAACACCAGUGGCGAAGGCGAGUCCCUGGACAACACCUGACACUGAGGCACGAAAGCUAGGGGAGCAAACAGG